Long non-coding RNA from Prunus persica (peach), 735 nucleotides. RefSeq lists it as uncharacterized. NCBI's taxonomy places the organism in Eukaryota, Viridiplantae, Streptophyta, Magnoliopsida, Rosales, Rosaceae. The transcript has 2 exons. The record is from RefSeq and is a predicted model, not a curated record.
AGCCAAUACCCAUGCUUUGCUCCAAAAGUAGCUGACGGUGGUGGCUCAACAAAAAAAGACCAUUUCAUUAUUUUGUCAUCUAGCAUCUCUUGCAAUUGCUCAAAUGAUGCAACCACCAUUUCAGCAAUUCACGAUGGGUUCUUCUUCAUGAGAAAGGCAGUGAUGUGAUGGUAAGCUUCUCUAACUCAAUCUUUCUGGCGCUGGUCACUGAGACCAGUUGUGGAUAUAAAUUGACACUUGCACAGAUGCACUCCAGGUGUUUGAUGAAAUGACAGAGUGACUUCUUGAGAUUUUGUUGAGAUGAUAAUUCCACCCAUUUUGAUCCCUUAAGCUUCCAAAAUUAUAGUUUUUGCUCCAAAGCCUUGCUAAGUAUGAUUUCCUACAAAAUCUCCACCAAGCACAUUAAACUAACCAAUUUCACAUGAAAACAAUGCAAAUAAAGGUAGACUAUAUAUGCUAAAUAUGAAUCUAUCAAACUACCUCAAACCUAUCUUUUGCUAGUCCUCGAGCAAAAUUAGAAACAAAAAGAAAAACAAAACAAAACAAAAAACUAACUAAACCACUUUCGCAGGUAAACUCGAUGGCACUUAGCAUGUGCCACAAGCCAUUAAACCUCUAGGUGUCCCUAGUAGGAGGAGUUGUGUCUCCUGAGGGUUUACCAGUUACGAUACCCACAAACGUUUUACUACAAAACAAAAGAGCUAAAGACACCACUUUAAACAAGCUAAUAAAAAC